This 940-nucleotide long non-coding RNA is filed under the name Oryza sativa (Asian cultivated rice). RNAcentral describes it as "long non-coding RNA (OSAT_LNC000643)". The record is from RNAcentral. Lineage: Eukaryota; Viridiplantae; Streptophyta; Magnoliopsida; Poales; Poaceae.
CACAGGAGACAUUUGGGGGAAAAUCAUGAUACACAAACAUACAGGUUAACCAGAUAUCCGUAUAAUAUGAUAACAUGCAUCUUGCUUACUGUAUUAUUAUCUGUGGCACAUAUUUCUAAUCAGUUGUUACUUGUUAGUUAUACUAUUAGUUUUGCAUUGCAAGACAAUUUCUAUAAAAUAAAAUUAUCGCUCAAUAAUAGGUUGAGAUGAAAGAUACGAAUGAUGGAUGUGCUACUUACAACGUAACCAUCAGGAGUCCAUUGCAUAACGUCCCAUUUUAUUGUGAUGUUCCCAUUUGGAUCCAGCGAAUCAUAAGCUUCUGCAAGAAAAAAAAGAGAGAGAAUAUGAAUUAAGCAUUAAGUUACAUCCCGAUUCCGAUUUAAAAGGUACACACCACACAACUAAUAAGAAAUUCGCGGUGAAUAUUAUUUCUAAAAAAAAAAUCUGAAUUAGAAGUAGUAAGAAAUUUGCACUAAUUUCUCUGUCCUGAACUGAACAGAUCCAUCACCGAAAUGCUUGAGAUGAAGAUUCAGCGAAGAUAGCAAAGACUGGUGCUGGUAAGGAAGCUCUGUGUGUGCUCCUCCCAAUUGCCCUAAGCUACCUAAUUCGACCUCAGAAUUCGUGCAAGCAUGAGAGAAAUGGAAGUCCCUAGUGAAUUUGGAGCCCAACCAGGAGUACCAAAAACAGAAAGAAGCCAAUGACGCCGAACUGGAGCCACCGACACUGUAAGGACAAGCAGCCCGGGAGUCGCAUUGCCCACACGCACGCGACGGAAUCUCGCGGCCACCUCGUCCGAUCAUCCUCCUCAUCGGCGAUCGGGGCCUAACAAAGCUCGCCGGCGACAGCGACGGCCGGCCGACGGACACGGCAGCACGAGCAGAGAGCUAGCGAGAUGAUACAGGUGGCCCAAGAAAGCGGGGGAAGCAAAGCUACGACGAAC